Non-coding RNA from Rattus norvegicus (Norway rat), 4586 nucleotides. The record is from RefSeq and is a predicted model, not a curated record. NCBI's taxonomy places the organism in Eukaryota, Metazoa, Chordata, Mammalia, Rodentia, Muridae.
AUGAAACUGUACCCCUUGUGGCUAGCUCUAGUCAGCACUAUUGAUAUGUGGGUAAAGUACUUCUUUGUUGAGGUGCCGCCUGCUUCUCAGGGUGCUUAGUAGAAUCCCAGCCAUCACGGAGCCUGGUACUAUCUAGAGAUCCAGACUUGGACUUGGAACAUAGCCUCUGCAAAUGCAAGCAAGAGGAUUCUAUUUUUGUUUUUUUUUUUUCCUGAACUCUGGUCAAAUGAGGUGAUUUUCUUUGUGCUUACUGGCCAGAAUAAUGUUUGUGUUUUAAAUUUCAAGUACUUACCAUGCUCUGACAUAUGCCUAUAAAUAUGUCACUCUUUCAUACUGAUCACAAAAGCUACAGGUGCCUGAUGCAUCAUUAGGAGUCUACUGCAACAUGUUACUGUAUUGAGAAUCGCCAAGAGCAAUGAAGGCUGGUGAAUAAAUGAAUGGACAUGUGAGCAAAUGUUAACAGUGCUCUCUAUUUCCCGGACUUUCCUAUCUGCAGGAGCACUGCUUAGACCAUUCAAUUCCCCACAAUUGGAAAUUGUUUAUUAUUCUUACUGAGAAACAGUGAGACAUGGUCUCAUUCUGAAGCCAAGGCUGACCUGGAUUUCAUAGUGAUCCUCCUGCCUCAGCUCCCCACAUAUUAGGACUACUUGUAUAAGCCACUAUGCCCAGCCUAUUAUUCUAAUUCCUACACUAGGAGAAAUGGAGUCUCAAAGAAGAAGGCAGCUUAUCGACAGUUUCAGCUAACUAGAAUAGCCAGCCAUUUAUACCCAGCUGUGCAAUUCUAAAGUCUGAGAACCAGCCCCAUCCCACCACCUCCAGCCCCACACCAGUCCAUGAUUCUGACAACUGUGAUCAAAACAGUCUUUCCUUGCUAUUUUUCAUGACUCUCUUCCAAGCCAAAAAAUAGCCAUCUUAGAGAAUUAGGCUGUUCCUGAUUCUCAAGGGUCGUCCCAGCUGAGUUGAUGGGCUGUUUCAUUCUCUCUUGGAAGGUCCAGGAAGGGUCAUGAGACCCUCACCUGCAUACCCAGCUGCUCACACCUGGUGUAUGCACCUCUGCCUUGGGUAGGGCAUAAGCAGGGAAGACUUGGAUGGGGGUGAAAUCCAUCUAUACAAUUAGAGGGAAGCCCCCACCCCUGUAAGUAAAGAUAAAAGGGGGCUAGAGAGAGAUGGCUCAAUGGUGAAGAGCACCGACUGCUCUUCCAGAGGUCCUGAGUUCAAAUCCCAGCAACCAUAUGAUGACUCACAACCAUCUGUAAUGGGAUCAGAUAUCCUCUUCUGGUAUGUCUAAAGUGUGUCUACAGUGUACUUAUAUACAAUAAAUAAAUCUAAAAAAGAAAAAAAACGAUAAGGCUUUUUUGGAGAAUAGUCACAGCCCUAUAAGUAAGUCCUCAUGUACACAGGCACUGUAACAACAAACUCAUUGGUUCCCUAGAGUGAAUUUUGAAGGAAUUGUGCUUCAGUGUGUCAUCGGGGCCUUAGGAGAAGGACAGGAGGACAUUGCUUAUGUCCUCUAGAAAGGAACUUCAUCACCUCUCCCUUAUUCAUCUCCAGCCCCUGUAAUCACCUCCUGAUCUCCUCAUCAUCCUAGUGUAUCUACUUCAUCUGGAACUCAGUGCUGAAGCUCCCAUGACCAGAACACCCAAACCUGCAAAUGUCAAACCAACCGAAUGUAUGCAUUCUGUAAGCAGCCUGAACUCUCGUGACCCCCUGCUCCACAGUUUGAGUGAAACGCCAGUGUCUGGUCUGUGCACUGAAGACAAAUGCUACAGCGUUAAGACAGCUCUCUCCUGUUGUGCCUCCUAUUGCAUUCCAUACUUUUCUGUUGCUAUGAUUCAAAACAAGGCCAACUCAUCGACAGAAGGGUUUCUCUGGGCUUCUGGUUCCUGAGGGGAUAAGAGUCUAUCAUGAUGGGGCAUCCGGCCAGUGAGCAGCAGGUCUGUUGGCUGGAACGGCAGUGAGGCAGUGAGCCCACACCUCAAACUGAAAGUACAAAGUAGAGGAAGCUAACUCAAAAUGGUGUGAAUUGUCUGAGACCUCAAAGCCUGCCCACAGUGACACACUCCCUCCAGCAAGGCCACGCCUCCCAACCUUCCACCAACAGCCACCAAAUGCGGAUCAUGUCUGAGAUUUGUGGAAACAUCUCACGCAAACUACCACACUUAUGAGAGAAGGCAGAUUAUCUCCCUUUAAGAACAUGCAUACAUUAAAAAAAAAAGCAGUGUCCUGUUUUCACUUUAAAUAUACUGAGGACAGAGAAGCAUAAAGUGCUCUCAUCUGUUAUACCCCAAAGUGCUCUGUCUGCAUACUGCCCCUACCACUUUCAGGGAGGACAUCCGGUUGAUUAUCUAGACAUCUCGCUGACUCUUUGUUUCACAAUAGCCCAGAACACUGAGGCAGAGGCCUAUUAAAUGAUAUAAAUGUCUCUGAUCACCGAAAACUCACUCCUGGCAUCUCAGAUCUCACUCUGUUCGUUAGAGGCCUGGAAUGCUGUAGAAGCCAGAAAGACUUUCCAGAACUCAUUUAUAACAUCCAUACAUCCAAGCCACAUCACAUAAGCCACGACACAGAAGGCAAGAGGCACACCACGUGAUUUCUUUCUCCACGAUGGCUCAUUCGGGUGGCCAUGCCAGCUUUUCUUAGUGAGUGACAUUGGGUGUCAAGAGUACAGAUUCUGCAAAGGGUAUUUUUGUCUCUGCUGGAUGAAAGGGAGGGAAAAGAGCUUUCAAAAACUGGGAGCGUGGAGCUAAAUGACAUGGUUGGAGAGUGGCAGUGCAGAAGAAAACAAUGGCCUCGGUACAGCAAGACUGAGCUCUGGCAAUCCCAGUCUCUUGUCUGUCUUUAUAUAGUCUAAGAAACCCCAGUGACUUCUCUAUGUUUUAGUUGUCUGGGAAAGAAAAGUCAAAAGGCGCAUCGGUUCAUACCAUAUGACAAUUUUCUGAAGGCUGACUUUCAAUGUCUAGAAGUAAAGUGUUACUGGAAUUCGGGGCUAGAGGUAUAGCUAAAUGGUGGAUCGCUUGCAUGGAAUGCCCAGAAAACAAAAGCAGAAUGAGACUCAUGUGUUUAUGUCUGGUCAGUGACUGCUACCAUGCUGCUAUGGUGGAGCCGAACAGCCUUGACACACCUGACAGCCCACAGAGCCUAAAAUAUUUACCAGCAGGCUUUUCAAGGAAAAUUUAUUAACCUCUGCACUAGAUUAUCCACCUUAAAUGCUACCUAUGGAAAUUACACUAGCCAGGGUCCCCCCCCCCCCCCCGGCAUCCAAGGUUGGAAGAGGGUACCAAGGUCAGAAGUGAAAGUGUAUGAGAGUACCAUAUAAGGAUAAAAGUCUGGGCCUUUGCCUCAGCUCCAGGCUGAUUCUUAACUAUGACGUUCUGUCUUUUUAAAACCUAAGCCCACAAAAAGCACAUGUCAGAGCCAUACCCUGCCUCCCCACUAACCAACCCCGUGUAACUCCCAAGAAUGUCUGAGAUGAGUUUCCCUGGGGAUUAUCAGUACUUAGGAGAGCAGCAUCACAGUGUCAUAUCCCAGCACAGAUUGUCUGACUAGUUCUUAGAACACUGUUGAGUUCUGGGAGAGGAUGCCUCCCCUGAACCGCUCACCUUCUGUUCAGUGUCAGCGCUAACCUGGUUUUUAAGGAAGACUGGAGACAACUGAAUAGUCAUUUGUAAAACACCCUUCAGAGGCCAGCACAAUGUCCAGGUGGUCCCUGCUGCCUCCCUGUGUGAGAGAGGUAGAAAAGGCAGAGGCCGCCCUUCAUGGGCAUCAUAGCCACCUGUGAUAACUGAGUCAAGACACUGAGAAGCACUGAGGAAUGAGAUGAAAAACGUAGACAAGGGCCUCUGUCCCACAGAGCGCUAUCAUCCCACACACACCCCCACAGCUCACGAAGUGCACCUGUCAAGGGUACUCUGGACUGUGUGCCGUCUCGCUUGAUCCCAUAAGGCCCACUGCUGACUAGCUACGAAAGAAGAUCAAUUGGUGUGAUAGUGGUUAGGGUGUUAUAGCGGCAAGCAAAUGCCUUAUGAAUGGAUUUCAGACCUGCUCAACAGAAGAGAAAACACAUCUGCUACAGCUCUGCCUUUGACGUGAUAUACACAGGCACAAGAGAACACUGGAGACUAAAGCUUGAAGGUUUACAUUAAAUAAUCCCAAGGUGUUCUGGUUUGUGGGACAUUCUGAAAAGGCUGAGGAUGGAACAAAAUUUCUGUUUUUCCCUCUAGAAUGUUUAAAAUAAUACCCACGGAAGAAAUGGUCCUAAGUCAUCAUUCUGACAAUGUCACAACACUGUUCUGUUUCUCAAAAGUACCAACCACCUGCAUCUGGGUGGGACUAUUAACCGCAUCACCUGUUAUACUGUGACCUUGGGCCACCCUUGGGAACCUGAUCUCCUCCUCAAACAAACAUAGUCAUAAACUGCUCAUGCAACAGCUAGAAAAUUGAUGGGAAAUGAUGCCCAUUCUUUUAUUGUGGCCACUGCCAAACAGUAACACAAUGAGAAAACAAUGCUCUCCCAAGCUUCAGCGUUCUACCUGAGAGUCUCCUCACCCUUCCCAGCUGGUAUUUUCAUUGUACUGGGAAACACAUCA